UACGUAGGGGGCUAGCGUUGCUCGGAAUCACUGGGCGUAAAGGGUGCGUAGGCGGGUCUUUAAGUCAGGGGGGAAAUCCUGGAGCUCAACUCCAGAACUGCCUUUGAUACUGAGGACCUUGAGUUCGGGAGAGGUGAGUGGAACUGCGAGUGUAGAGGUGAAAUUCGUAGAUAUUCGCAAGAACACCAGUGGCGAAGGCGGCUCACUGGCCCGGUACUGACGCUGAGGUGCGAAAGCGUGGGGAGCAAACAGG
Molecule: ribosomal RNA, 253 nt
Filed under: uncultured bacterium
Lineage: Bacteria
Description: partial 16S ribosomal RNA
Rfam family: Bacterial small subunit ribosomal RNA
Source: RNAcentral